UACGUAGGGUGCGAGCGUUGUCCGGAAUUACUGGGCGUAAAGAGCUCGUAGGUGGUUUGUCGCGUUGUUCGUGAAAACUCACAGCUUAACUGUGGGCGUGCGGGUGGUACGGGCAGACUGGAGUACUGCAGGGGAGACUGGAAUUCCUGGUGUAGCGGUGGAAUGCGCGGAUAUCAGGAGGAACACCGGUGGCGAAGGCGGGUCUCUGGGCAGUAACUGACGCUGAGGAGCCAAAGCGUGGGGAGCGAACAGG
RNAcentral lists this ribosomal RNA (253 nucleotides) under uncultured bacterium. RNAcentral describes it as "partial 16S ribosomal RNA". It matches the Rfam family "Bacterial small subunit ribosomal RNA", at positions 524 to 776 of the family's 1533-position model. The record is from RNAcentral.